CCCUUAGAUGUUCUGGGCCGCACACGCGCUACACUGAAGGAGGCAGCGUGUACUCCUGGAUCGAAAGAUUUGGGUAACCCGCGAAUCUCCUUCGUGCUAGGGAUUGAGGUUUGCAAUUAUCCUUCAUGAACGAGGAAUUCCCAGUAAGUGCAAGUCAUAAGCUUGCGCUGACUACGUCCCUGCCCUUUGUACACAUCGCCCGUCGCUACUACCGAUUGAAUGAUUUAGUGAGGACUUCGGACUGGGACCGAUGCGGCUUUCGGGCUGCGUCGGUAUUCUGGAAAGAUGUCCAAACUGUAUCAUUUAGAGGAAGUAAAAGUCGUANCA
This 327-nucleotide ribosomal RNA is filed under the name uncultured eukaryote. RNAcentral's name for it is "partial 18S ribosomal RNA". It matches the Rfam family "Eukaryotic small subunit ribosomal RNA", at positions 1470 to 1796 of the family's 1831-position model. The record is from RNAcentral.